CCCUUAGAUGUUCUGGGCUGCACGCGCGCUACACUGACACACUCAGCGAGUCUCCUGGCCCGAGAGGGUUGGGUAAUCAUGUGAGCGUGUGUCGUGAUGGGGAUAGAAUAUUGUAAUUAUUGCUCUUCAACGAGGAAUUCCUAGUAAGCGCGAUUCAUCAUAUCGCGCUGAAUACGUCCCUGCCCUUUGUACACACCGCCCGUCGCUCCUACCGAUUGAGCGAUCCGGUGAAUUAUUUGGAGUGUCCACGCAAGCCAAUCCGUUUACGUGGGUGCGAAAUUUUGUAAACCUUAUCGCUUAGAGGAAGGAAAAGUCGUAACA
This 321-nucleotide ribosomal RNA is filed under the name uncultured eukaryote. RNAcentral describes it as "partial 18S ribosomal RNA". It matches the Rfam family "Eukaryotic small subunit ribosomal RNA", at positions 1470 to 1796 of the family's 1831-position model. The record is from RNAcentral.